Molecule: ribosomal RNA, 497 nt
Filed under: uncultured bacterium
Lineage: Bacteria
Description: partial 16S ribosomal RNA
Rfam family: Bacterial small subunit ribosomal RNA
Source: RNAcentral
GAUGAACGCUGGCGGCGUGCCUAAUACAUGCAAGUCGAGCGAACGGACGAGAAGCUUGCUUCUCUGAUGUUAGCGGCGGACGGGUGAGUAACACGUGGAUAACCUACCUAUAAGACUGGGAUAACUUCGGGAAACCGGAGCUAAUACCGGAUAAUAUUUUGAACCGCAUGGUUCAAAAGUAAAAGACGGUCUUGCUGUCACUUAUAGAUGGAUCCGCGCUGCAUUAGCUAGUUGGUAAGGUAACGGCUUACCAAGGCAACGAUGCAUAGCCGACCUGAGAGGGUGAUCGGCCACACUGGAACUGAGACAGGGUACAGACACCUACGGGAGGCAGCAGUAGGGAAUCUUCCGCAAUGGGCGAAAGCCUGACGGAGCAACGCCGCGUGAGUGAUGAAGGUCUUCGGAUCGUAAAACUCUGUUAGUAGGGAAGAACAAAUGUGUAAGUAACUGUGCACAUCUUGACGGUACCUAAUCAGAAAGCCACGGCUAACUACGUG